This 465-nucleotide ribosomal RNA is filed under the name uncultured bacterium. Its description in RNAcentral is "partial 16S ribosomal RNA". It matches the Rfam family "Bacterial small subunit ribosomal RNA", at positions 28 to 507 of the family's 1533-position model. The record is from RNAcentral.
GAUGAACGCUGGCGGCGUGCUUAACACAUGCAAGUCGAACGGAAAGGCUCCUGCUUGCCGGGGUACUCGAGUGGCGAACGGGUGAGUAACACGUGGGUGAUCUGCCCUGCACUUCGGGAUAAGCCUGGGAAACUGGGUCUAAUACCGGAUAGGACCACAUUUUGGAUGGUGUGGUGGAAAGUUUUUCGGUGUGGGAUGAGCUCGCGGCCUAUCAGCUUGUUGGUGGGGUAAUGGCCUACCAAGGCGUCGACGGGUAGCCGGCCUGGGAGGGUGUACGGCCACAUUGGGACUGAGGUACGGCCCAGACUCCUACGGGAGGCAGCAGUGGGGAAUAUUGCACAAUGGGCGCAAGCCUGAUGCAGCGACGCCGGGUGGGGGAUGACGGCCUUCGGGUUGUAAACUCCUUUCGCUAGGGACGAAGCGCAAGUGACGGUACCUGGAGAAGAAGCAACGGCUAACUACGUG